GCUCUGGCUGGGUGGUCCACCAAUGGCUGGUACUGCUCUGGCUGGGGUUAAUUCUGAUGAAUAGGUAUGCCCUUCACUGGUGUGUUCCUACGAACUUCAGACGAUUACCUUGAAAAAAUUAGAGUGUUUAAAGCAGGCUUAUGCUUGAAUACAUUAGCAUGGAAUAAUAAAAUAGGACGGCAUGGUUCUAUUUUGUUGGUUUCUAGGAUCACCGUA
Molecule: ribosomal RNA, 216 nt
Filed under: uncultured fungus
Lineage: Eukaryota; Fungi
Description: partial small subunit ribosomal RNA
Rfam family: Eukaryotic small subunit ribosomal RNA (bases 48-216)
Source: RNAcentral